UGGGGAAUUUUACGCAAUGGGGGAAACCCUGACGUAGCGACACCGCGUGAGCGAAGAAGCCUUUUGGGGUGUAAAGCUCUGUCAGCUGGAACGAACACAAUGACGGUACCAGCAGAGGAAGCAUCGGCUAACUACGUGCCAGCAGCCGCGGUAAGACGUAGGAUGCAAGCGUUGUCCGGAUUCAUUGGGCGUAAAGAGUUCGUAGGUGGUCUGUUAAGUUUGGUGUUAAAGAGCGGGGCCCAACCCCGAUAGUGCACUGAAUACUGGCAGACUUGAUUGCGGUAGAGGUAAGUGGAAUUCCAAGUGUAGCGGUGAAAUGCAUAGAUAUUUGGAAGAACACCGGUGGCGUAAGCGACUUACUGGGCCGUAACUGACACUGAGGAACGAAAGCCGGGGUAGCGAAUG
This 405-nucleotide ribosomal RNA is filed under the name uncultured bacterium. RNAcentral describes it as "bacterial SSU rRNA". It matches the Rfam family "Bacterial small subunit ribosomal RNA", at positions 355 to 774 of the family's 1533-position model. The record is from RNAcentral.